This 154-nucleotide non-coding RNA is filed under the name Paenibacillus bovis. RNAcentral's name for it is "FMN sequence". It matches the Rfam family "FMN riboswitch aptamer (RFN element)". Rfam says of the family: The RFN element is a highly conserved domain that is found frequently in the 5'-untranslated regions of prokaryotic mRNAs that encode for flavin mononucleotide (FMN) biosynthesis and transport proteins. The record is from Rfam by way of RNAcentral. Lineage: Bacteria; Bacillati; Bacillota; Bacilli; Caryophanales; Paenibacillaceae.
AGAGAUCUUCGGGGUAAGGUGAAAUUCCUGACCGGCGGUGAUUGCCGACAAUAGUCAGCAGCAGCCCGCGACUCACUGCUUUGUUUAUCAAGCAGAUGACUGAUCUGGUGCAAAUCCAGAGCCGACGGUAAAGUCCGGAUGGGAGAAGAUCAAU